GGGCGCUCAGAGGGAGAGCUGCGCGGCCUUCCAGGCAGAAGGAACACCGUGUCCAAACGCACAGAAGCGUGAAAGCCCCCACGAGUGCUUUGCCGUUGUGGUGGGUCAAGUCUACCUGAUGAGGCGAACAGGGAACUCUUCCGGGGAGAAAAUCCUGCCUGUCAAUCUCAUAUUCUCAGUUCCCUUCUAUCAGAUGGGGGCUUAUUGUGCUGCCUCAUACCCACUAAAGGGCGUGAAACCCAGAAUCCUCACUAUGUCUCUUAAUGUCGUUAAAGAUUGGGCCUUCGAGAUGGCUCAGUGGGUAAAGACGCUGCCUGCCACGUUUGCUGACCUGAGUUCGAUCUUCUGGACCUUGGAAGGAGAGAAUGGAACCCUGCAGGUUGUUCCUCUGAUUUGUACAUGCGUGCACACAAGUAAUUUCAAUAAAUAACUGAUAGCUCUA
Molecule: long non-coding RNA, 442 nt
Filed under: Mus caroli (Ryukyu mouse)
Lineage: Eukaryota; Metazoa; Chordata; Mammalia; Rodentia; Muridae
Description: lncRNA (MGP_CAROLIEiJ_G0006219.1)
Source: RNAcentral